CUGCAGGACACAUUUGAACAUCGACAUUUCGAACGCACAUUGCGGUCCGUGGAGACACAUCCAAGACCACUCCUGUCUGAGGGCCGGCU
RNAcentral lists this ribosomal RNA (89 nucleotides) under Bombyx mandarina (wild silkworm). RNAcentral's name for it is "partial 5.8S ribosomal RNA". The record is from RNAcentral. Lineage: Eukaryota; Metazoa; Arthropoda; Insecta; Lepidoptera; Bombycidae.